GACGGACCACACGAACGUUAUUCGGAAUUACUGGGCUUAAAGGGUGCGUAGGCUGUGCAGAAAGUUGGGUGUGAAAUCCCCCGGCUCAACCGGGGAACUGCGCCUAAAACUACUGCGCUCGAGGGAGACAGAGGUGAGCGGAACUUAGGGUGGAGCGGUGAAAUGCGUUGAUAUCCUAAGGAACACCGGUGGCGAAAGCGGCUCACUGGGUCUCUUCUGACGCUGAGGCACGAAAGCCAGGGGAGCAAACGGG
This 253-nucleotide ribosomal RNA is filed under the name uncultured bacterium. RNAcentral's name for it is "partial 16S ribosomal RNA". It matches the Rfam family "Bacterial small subunit ribosomal RNA", at positions 524 to 776 of the family's 1533-position model. The record is from RNAcentral.